RNAcentral lists this ribosomal RNA (402 nucleotides) under uncultured bacterium. Its description in RNAcentral is "bacterial SSU rRNA". It matches the Rfam family "Bacterial small subunit ribosomal RNA", at positions 355 to 775 of the family's 1533-position model. The record is from RNAcentral.
UGGGGAAUAUUGCACAAUGGGGGAAACCCUGAUGCAGCAACGCCGCGUGAGUGAUGACGGUCUUCGGAUUGUAAAGCUCUGUCUUUGGGGACGAUAAUGACGGUACCCAAGGAGGAAGCCACGGCUAACUACGUGCCAGCAGCCGCGGUAAUACGUAGGUGGGGAGCGUUAUCCGGAAUUAUUGGGCGUAAAGGGAGCGUAGGCGGAUAAUUAAGUGGGAUGUGAAAUACUCAAGCUCAACCUGAGGGCUGCAUUCCAAACUGAUUAUCUAGAGUGCAGGAGAGGAGAGUGGAAUUCCAAGUGUAGCGGUGAAAAGCGUAAAGAUUAGGAAGAACACCAGGGCGAGGGCGACUCUAUGGACUGGAACUGACGCUGAGGCUCGGAAGCGUGGGGAGCAAAAAG